Molecule: long non-coding RNA, 923 nt
Organism: Thrips palmi
Lineage: Eukaryota; Metazoa; Arthropoda; Insecta; Thysanoptera; Thripidae
Exons: 8
Source: RefSeq, a predicted model, not a curated record
AAAAACAAGUCACUGAUCAUUUCAAGAUGGCGUCAUGUGAGCGGUGAGCGGCGGUGGGCACUCCAAGUUGUUUUACGUUAGCUUCUUUUAUCUCGGGCCUCUUUUGAAAGGGUUUGAUUUGCCGUUUGAGAAAUGCAGCUUUCAUACUCGAGGAGACGGGGACUUCGGAGUACUUCAAACAACGGUAAAGGCCCAGGCAACCUCCAUGUGUGAAACCUAACCUGUUAACCUGUCAAUCACUUGAUCUGUGAUGCAUCUUCUCGCUGCCGGGAGGCGGAUUAUGCGUUACAUUGAAGAUGGAAGUGGUUUCAGCAUUGCGCUUGAAAGUACACGAGUUCACACCAUACUAAGUGCAGCCUGUGCAGUAUGCAGAGACCAGGCUCAAGAAAGUUUUUAACGAUAUUUAUAACAACUGAAGACAUUCAGCGCAUCAUUGCAUUGGUACUGCUGGUUGUUGUAAAUUUAUGUGAGAAUUGCUGCAUACAACAGGGAGCAACAGAUGGCUAAUGAAGACGCUCGAAAGUACUACAGAGUUCACAUUAUGCGUCCUGCAGCCUGUGAGGUACACAGAAGCCUGGCUCGAGAAAUGUGUGUUAUAGUUCACAAGGAGGACAAUUGUUUCUGACAACCCAGGACAUUUCGUGCGUAAUCGUAGCAACAUGUGUCCGGUGGAGUCUUUAAUAGGCUUAGCUGGAGUCUUUUUGUGGAUUUACAUGAAAAUCACUGCACACAACAAUAUCUUGGGGCUAAGACUUCAGAGCAAUGGUUCGUCACUUCACGAGGGACCAACGGAUGGCUAUGUAAGAAUUGAGAUGCAAGUUGAAGAAAACUGUGAUUUUAUAUCUGGGCACUACUGUACUGGUUUGUGAGCUAUGGUGCUCAAUAAAGAACUGUAUUAGUCACAGUACUGUUUUAGAUUUAUU